AUAAUUAGAGAAGAAAAAAGCUAAUAAAUGAAUAAAAAAGAAAAGAGAGAGAGAGAGAGAGAGAAAGAAACAUCGUGCGUCAGGUCUGUGCGAGCUAGCAGCGGCCAAAGGGCAGCUCGCCGCAUCAUAUUCGAUUUCGUGUUGUUGCACAAUAUUCACCGUAUCUCGCGAACUAGAAGCCAAAGCUUUGCCAGUUGUCAGUUGAUUCUCGUUGCGUUACAAGGAAAUUUUUAGCGCGAUCUACCACGUUAAAAAUCUUUUAUAAAAGAAUAUUUCGAAGCUCCCUCCCCAGUGAGUUUCAAGAACCAACCACCCGGUGGAGCGUUAAGCGCCACGAUUUCCAUCUCGUCUGUGUCGUUCUUUCGUGCCAACAAUAACGUUAUUGGCACAGUAUUGUACCAUUCGUUGCCUGUUAUUUAAACCAGUAAAACGAAUGAAUGAUCGACUUGAAGAUUACGUUAGUGAAUUCGUUCGAACUCGUUUUGAUUUAAAUUUCAAUCGUUAGAAUUUCGCUAAAUUGUCCCUGAAUUUUUUAUAUAAGUAAAAAAAAUUAUACUAGUUAUGAUCAAUAGCACGGAUAAGAUCAAGUACAAUUUUGUUCGUUUUGUUUAUCGACGGGAAUAAUAGAUAAUGUGAUGAUAGUGUUGUUGUUGUUGUUGUUGUUGUUGUUGUUGUUGUUGUUGUUGUUGUUCACAGUGAUGAUAGUGUUUAUGAUGACAUAAAAAGGAUGAAUUGUGUGAAACGCGAUAAAGACAAGUCGCUAGUCAAUAUCAUCUCUCAAUUUUAGCACGAGAUUGCAGCACGAAGUUGACCACGAAAGUAGAAACCGUGUUGCGUGGUUUCGGCCAAGGCAAUCAUCGGUUUCCUCGUGUUCCAUCGGCUUGCAUUUCGAUGUAGUAUUUUUUUUUCUCUAAUAGCUAACGAGGUUACGAUGUCAAAGUAUAAAAUAAAUGUGUUUAAUUAAA
Molecule: long non-coding RNA, 965 nt
Organism: Vespa crabro (European hornet)
Lineage: Eukaryota; Metazoa; Arthropoda; Insecta; Hymenoptera; Vespidae
Exons: 2
Source: RefSeq, a predicted model, not a curated record